AUUAGAUACCNUGGUAGUCCACGCUGUAAACGAUGAAUGUUAAAUAUGGGAAGUUUACUUUCUGUAUUACAGCUAACGCGUUAAACAUUCCGCCUGGGGACUACGGUCGCAAGAUUAAAACUCAAAGGAAUUGACGGGGACCCGCACAAGCGGUGGAGCAUGUGGUUUAAUUCGAUGCAACGCGAAAAACCUUACCACUCCUUGACAUGGAAAUUAUACCUAUUCGAAGGGAUAGGGUCGGUUCGGCCGGAUUUCACACAGGUGUUGCAUGGCUGUCGUCAGCUCGUGUCGUGAGAUGUUGGGUUAAGUCCCGCAACGAGCGCAACCCUCAUCCUUAGUUACCAUCAGGUAAUGCUGGGGACUUUAAGGAAACUGCCAGUGAUAAACUGGAGGAAGGUGGGGAUGAUGUCAAGUCAUCAUGGCCCUUAUGGAGUGGGCUACACACGUGCUACAAUGGUGGCUACAAUGGGCUGCAAAGUCGCGAGGCUAAGCUAAUCCCUUAAAAGCCAUCUCAGUUCGGAUUGUACUCUGCAACUCGAGUACAUGAAGUUGGAAUCGCUAGUAAUCGUGGAUCAGCAUGCCACGGUGAAUACGUUCUCGGGUCUUGUACACACUGCCCGUCACGCCAUGGGAAUUGGUUUCACUCGAAGCUAACGACCUAACCGCAAGGAGGGAGUUAUUUAAAGUGGGAUCGGUGACUGGGGUGAAGUCGUAACAAGGUAGCCGUAGAAUCACUAGUGAAUUCGCGGCCGCCUGCAGGUCGACCAUAUGG
This 772-nucleotide ribosomal RNA is filed under the name uncultured Wolbachia sp. RNAcentral describes it as "bacterial SSU rRNA". It matches the Rfam family "Bacterial small subunit ribosomal RNA", at positions 777 to 1533 of the family's 1533-position model. The record is from RNAcentral. Lineage: Bacteria; Pseudomonadati; Pseudomonadota; Alphaproteobacteria; Rickettsiales; Anaplasmataceae.